GAUGAACGCUGGCGGCGUGCCUAAUACAUGCAAGUCGAGCGAACAGACGAGGAGCUUGCUCCUCUGACGUUAGCGGCGGACGGGUGAGUAACACGUGGAUAACCUACCUAUAAGACUGGGAUAACUUCGGGAAACCGGAGCUAAUACCGGAUAAUAUAUUGAACCGCAUGGUUCAAUAGUGAAAGACGGUUUUGCUGUCACUUAUAGAUGGAUCCGCGCCGCAUUAGCUAGUUGGUAAGGUAACGGCUUACCAAGGCAACGAUGCGUAGCCGACCUGAGAGGGUGAGCGGCCACAGGAGAACGGAGACACGCCCCAGCCCCCUAGGGGAGGCCGCAGUAGGGAUUCUUCCGCAAUGGGCGAAAGCCGGACGGAGCAACCCCGCGGGAGUGAUGAGUUUCUUCGUAUCGUAAAACUUUUUUAUUAGGAAAAAAAAAAUGUGUAAGUAAUUAUCCACGUCUGGAGGGUACCUAAACAGAAACCCACGGCAACCUGCGC
Molecule: ribosomal RNA, 496 nt
Filed under: uncultured bacterium
Lineage: Bacteria
Description: partial 16S ribosomal RNA
Rfam family: Bacterial small subunit ribosomal RNA
Source: RNAcentral